CCCUACGGGACGCAGCAGUGAGGAAUAUUGGUCAAUGAGCUUACGCCUGAACCAGCCAAGUCGCGUGAGGGAAGACUGCCCUAUGGGUUGUAAACCUCUUUUGUCAGGGAGCAACGCAGGCUACGUGUAGCCGGACUGAGAGUACCUGAAGAAAAAGCAUCGGCUAACUCCGUGCCAGCAGCCGCGGUAAUACGGAGGAUGCGAGCGUUAUCCGGAUUUAUUGGGUUUAAAGGGUGCGUAGGCGGAAUGCCAAGUCAGCGGAAAAAUCGCGGGGCUCAACCUCGCUCCGCCGUUGAAACUGGCGU
RNAcentral lists this ribosomal RNA (305 nucleotides) under uncultured bacterium. RNAcentral describes it as "bacterial SSU rRNA". It matches the Rfam family "Bacterial small subunit ribosomal RNA", at positions 337 to 639 of the family's 1533-position model. The record is from RNAcentral.